UACGUAGGGUGCAAGCGUUAAUCGGAAUUACUGGGCGUAAAGCGUGCGCAGGCGGUUUUGUAAGUCUGUCGUGAAAUCCCCCGGGCUCAACCUGGGAAUUGCGAUGGAGACUGCAAGGCUAGAAUCUGGCAGAGGGGGGUAGAAUUCCACGUGUGAGCAGUGAAAUGCGUAGAGAUGUGGAGGAACACCGAUGGCGAAGGCAGCCCCCUGGGUCAAGAUUGACGCUCCAUGCACGAAAGCGUGGGGAGCAAACAGG
Molecule: ribosomal RNA, 256 nt
Filed under: uncultured bacterium
Lineage: Bacteria
Description: partial 16S ribosomal RNA
Rfam family: Bacterial small subunit ribosomal RNA
Source: RNAcentral